GCUUCUGUAGCUCAACUGGUAGAGCAGCCGCUUUGUAAGCGGCCGGUUGUGGGUUCAAGUCCUAUCUGAAGCU
RNAcentral lists this transfer RNA (73 nucleotides) under Fibrella aestuarina BUZ 2. It matches the Rfam family "tRNA". From Rfam's summary of the family: Transfer RNA (tRNA) molecules are approximately 80 nucleotides in length. Their secondary structure includes four short double-helical elements and three loops (D, anti-codon, and T loops). Further hydrogen bonds mediate the characteristic L-shaped molecular structure. tRNAs have two regions of fundamental functional importance: the anti-codon, which is responsible for specific mRNA codon recognition, and the 3' end, to which the tRNAs corresponding amino acid is attached (by aminoacyl-tRNA synthetases). tRNAs cope with the degeneracy of the genetic code in two manners: having more than one tRNA (with a specific anti-codon) for a particular amino acid; and 'wobble' base-pairing, i.e. permitting non-standard base-pairing at the 3rd anti-codon position. Lineage: Bacteria; Pseudomonadati; Bacteroidota; Cytophagia; Cytophagales; Spirosomataceae. The record is from Rfam by way of RNAcentral.